GCGAAUAGGGUGAUUUUGUAUUCUCUGUUAUUUCUUUUUAUGCCGUGGAUGUUGGGGUUGUCUCUUAUAAGUUGUGUAAGUGGUUCUAGUGACAGGAUGUAGAGAAUAGGUGAGAUUGGACAUCCCUGCCUAGUACCGUUUGUGAUGUCGAAUUGUUUGGAGACGAAGCCCCCCUUGGUCACCCUUGCUGUCGGUACAGAGUACAAUGCCUCCACUAGCUGCAUGAAUGUGUU
This is a non-coding RNA of Pelobates cultripes (western spadefoot toad), 233 nucleotides long. Lineage: Eukaryota; Metazoa; Chordata; Amphibia; Anura; Pelobatidae. The record is from the annotation of a GenBank genome assembly.